GUUUAGUUGUGUAAGUUGUGUGUAUUAAGUAAUAAUUUUUACCGGACCUUUAAAACAAAUACAUGAAGACUUGUAGAAAUAACUAUAAAAUGAGUGACAAUUCUAAGUAUUUGGGCUUUAAUGGGUUUUAAACGAAUUUAUGUAUUUCUUAUAAGAAGACAAUAGCAUUGGCUUGUUGACAUUGGGCAUGUAAGCUAUUUUCAUAAAACAAGAGGAGUAAGCAGAUGGAGAUGUUGUUGCCGGCUUUGUGUCUUCGGAAUUGUCUUUUGUAUCUCCUAGUGUGGUUGUGUUUGUUUCUCUUUUAUUUGAUGGGUAAUAUGUAAACAAAAAUCAUUGUUAGUUGUAUUUAUCAGAGUUGAUAAUUUACUCUACUUUUUUGUUUAGGUAAUUUCACUGAUCUUGGAUGUCGUCAUCGUCUUCUUCGUAAGAAUUUGCGAAAGUAAGUUUGUAAAUUGUUAAAUAGCUGGCCGCGUAGUUGGUAUUUGUUUAGUUGACUCGAUGUAUGUGUCGUUGAUUUUUAGUUGAGGUGAUUGGUUUGGUAUAUUUCUUUUGAAGUUUAUUUGUUAGAUUAGAAAAGAAAGAGAGGUGAUCAUUAAUAAUCCGUUUUUUUUUAAUUCAAGUUUUUGGUGUUUUGAUUGUUUAGGUUGUUAUGGUUUCUUAUAAGCUGU
RNAcentral lists this long non-coding RNA (668 nucleotides) under Brassica napus (rape). RNAcentral's name for it is "long non-coding RNA (BNAP_LNC015984)". Lineage: Eukaryota; Viridiplantae; Streptophyta; Magnoliopsida; Brassicales; Brassicaceae. The record is from RNAcentral.